Molecule: long non-coding RNA, 728 nt
Organism: Daucus carota subsp. sativus
Lineage: Eukaryota; Viridiplantae; Streptophyta; Magnoliopsida; Apiales; Apiaceae
Exons: 2
Source: RefSeq, a predicted model, not a curated record
UUGAGUCACAUCAUCUCUGUACAACCUUGGAGCUAGAAAGUUUGGCAUUAUAAGUGUGCCACCAGUCGGCUGCUGUCCAUCACAAAGAAUCUUUAAUUCUACUGGUGGUUGUUUAGAGAUUCAAAAUGAUUUUGCAAGAUCUUUCCAUUCUCAACUUUCAACCCUCAUGUCAAGAAUCAGCUCAGAGAUUCCUGCAAUAAAAUAUUCAAUCGGGAACACGUAUGAAAUGACCAUGAAUGUUAUAGAGAAUGCUCCUCUGUUCGGUUUAAAAGAUGUUGAAACUGCGUGCUGCGGAUCAGGCACACAAACUUGUACUCCAGAAGCAAGUUUUUGCUCAAAUCGCGACGAGUACUUAUUCUGGGAUUUGUACCACCCAACACAAGCUGCUUCUCUGCUGGCAGCUCAGACCUUAUAUAUCGGAGAAAAGAAAUUUGUAUCCCCGAUCAAUUUCUCUGAGUUGGCUGAGUGUUAACUUCAACUGGUUCUACAAAACAAGCCUUGAUUACUUUAUUAAGAGGACUCAAGUGUAGUCUAAUAAUGAACCACAUAUAGUAAAAUUGCAUGUGACCCUUUAUUAAGCCUGUAUGUUCGUACUUAUUUUUUAUGUUACCCAAUUGCAUCGCAGUAUGCAUUUUGUGGUCUUACAAAUAGUGUAUUCCAAUUUAUCAUGCAAGAACAAUAAAUUUCUGCAUUAUACAAUUUCAGAAGGACAAGUAUUGAACCUUAAA